GAUGAACGCUAGCGGCAGGCCUAGCACAUGCAAGUCGAGGGGUAGAAGUUGCUUGCAACUUUGAGACCGGCGCACGGGUGCGUAACGCGUAUGCAAUCUGCCUUGUACUGAGGGAUAGCCCAGAGAAAUUUGGAUUAAUACCUCAUAGCAUUAUGAUGUGGCAUCACAUUAUAAUUUAAGUUCCAACGGUACAAGAUGAGCAUGCGUCCCAUUAGUUAGUUGGUAAGGUAACGGCUUACCAAGACGAUGAUGGGUAGGGAUCCUGAGAGGGAGAUCCCCCACACUGGUACUGAGAAACGGACCAGACUCCUACGGGAGGCAGCAGUGAGGAAUAUUGGUCAAUGGGCGCAAGCCUGAACCAGCCAUGCCGCGUGCAGGAUGACGCAUCUAUGGUGUGUAAACUGCUUUUGUACAGGAAGAAACACUCCCUCGUGAGGGAGCUUGUCGGUACUGUAAGAAUAAGGAUCGGCUAACUCCGUGCCAGCCGCCGCCGUAA
This 496-nucleotide ribosomal RNA is filed under the name uncultured bacterium. RNAcentral describes it as "partial 16S ribosomal RNA". It matches the Rfam family "Bacterial small subunit ribosomal RNA", at positions 28 to 523 of the family's 1533-position model. The record is from RNAcentral.